Molecule: long non-coding RNA, 1504 nt
Organism: Oreochromis aureus
Lineage: Eukaryota; Metazoa; Chordata; Actinopteri; Cichliformes; Cichlidae
Source: Ensembl
GUCACCAGCAGCCUCUCCUCCAGGUUGCUCUUCCUGAGCACUCUCAGAAAGUGAAGACGCUGCUGGGCCUUUUUUACCACCACAGUGGUAUUUGCAGUCCAGGAGAGAUCAUCAGAGAUCUGCACGCCCAGAAACCUCAUGGAGUGUACCCUCUCCACACGGUUCCCGUGAAUGUAAAGUGUGGCCGGGUCUGCUCUGCCCUUCCUGAAGUCCAAGAUGAGUUCUUUAGUUUUCGUGGUGUUCAGUUGGAGGUUGUUAACUGAACACCACUCAGUCAGUCUGUUGACCUCAUCUCUGUAGUCCGACUCAUCCCCCCUUGAGAUGAGUCCAACCACAGUGGUGUCGUCCGCAAACUUUAUGAUGGUGUUUGAGAGAUGGGUAGGGGAGCAGUCGGAUGUGUAGAGCGUAAACAGGAGGGGACUCAGAACACAUCCUUGUGGAGACCCAGUGCUGAGUGUGAUGGUGCUGGACAGGUGGGGGCCGAGUCUGACAGACUGUGGUCUGUUUGUCAGGAAGUCCUUGAUCCAGAGGCAGAUGGGGGUGGAGAGUCCCAGGUGAGACAGUUUCUGGACCAGGAUCUCCGGGAUGAUAUGAUUAAAUGCAGAGCUGAAGUCCAGGAAGAGCAUUCUCACAUAGCUUCCUCUGUGCUCCAGGUGACUCAGCGCAGUGUGGAGCGCUAUGGUGAUAGCGUCCUCGGUGGAUCGAUUAGUCCUGUAGGCAAAUUGGUGGGGGUCCAAAGUGGGAGGCAGACUGGCCCUGAUGUGCUGACAGACCAGUCUCUCAAAGCACUUCAUCACUACAGGCGUCAGGGUUUUUUUUGUAUGCUGAAUUGUUCCUGAGGUGGAUUCCUCCGGUGAAAUAGAUGGCGAGCCUUCCCACCUGGACUUAGAGAGACUGAGAUUCGCUUCUUUUCCACUAAAUGAUCUGCUGCACCUUGCGGUGUGGUAGGACUGUAUCACUCACACUUUCACACACAGCUGGUUAUACAUAAGACCACUGACUGACAUUCUCUCACCCCUAUUUUCUUUCACACCCUGGGAAUUUUUUGGACUAUACCCCUUGGACAUUUUUUAUUUGGGACUUUAAAUAAUAAGCUGUUGUGUAGAACAUUCUCCACAUGUGAAAAGAGUGUGAGAUUUUCAUUUGAAUGUACAUUGGAUUUGUGUAAUCUGUUUCUAUAAGAGUUAAGGAGUCAGAUUACUAGGGUGCACCCGAGCAUUGAAACCCGAGCUUUGAAACCCAACAUUGAAAACCAAAAGUAACACUUGGCCAAGUCAUUAUUUUAGCAGUUUAUGUGUUUUACUUUUCUUUCAUUUUUGUAAGUUUCCUUUCUGCAAUUGUAAAGUGCCUUUAACCUGUGCUUGACAACCUUAUAGUUUAUUUCACUAAAGUCGGCUGGUUCUUUUGAGUUACAUUCAUGUCUCUGUGUCUCAUUUAAACACACCCCUGUGCUCCUAUAGUCGAACCUAUUGGCCCAUUUAUAUAUUCUUUUCAACAAUUCCCC